Podospora aff. communis PSN243 is the source of this 103-nucleotide non-coding RNA. NCBI's taxonomy places the organism in Eukaryota, Fungi, Ascomycota, Sordariomycetes, Sordariales, Podosporaceae. The record is from the annotation of a GenBank genome assembly.
UCGGGUUUAGCUCAGCUGGGAGAGCGUCAGACCGACGUUUUCACUGCAUUCAAAUCAAGUAAUUGAUAUCUAAAGGUCAUGUGUUCAAUCCACAUAACCCGCA